This 440-nucleotide ribosomal RNA is filed under the name uncultured bacterium. RNAcentral's name for it is "partial 16S ribosomal RNA". It matches the Rfam family "Bacterial small subunit ribosomal RNA", at positions 338 to 795 of the family's 1533-position model. The record is from RNAcentral.
CCUACGGGUGGCAGCAGUAGGGAAUAUUGCUCAAUGGGGGAAACCCUGAAGCAGCAACGUCGCGUGGGGGAUGACGGUCUUCUGAUUGUAAACCCUCUUUGUUCGGGGAGAAAAUGACGGUAUGUAACGAAUAAGCACCGUCUAACUCCGUGCAAGCAGCCGCCGUAAUACGGCGGGUGCAAGCGUUACUCGGAAUAACUGGGCGUAAAGCGGGCGUAGGCGGGAUAGCAAGUCAGCUGUGAAAUCCUAGGGCUUAACCAUAGAACUGCAGUUGAAACUGGUAUUCUAGAGUAUGGGAGAGGUAUGUGGAAUGCGUGGUGUAGGGGUAAAAUGCGUAGAGAUCAAGAAGAAUACUCAUUGCGAAGGCGACCUGCUGGAACAUAACUGACGCUGAUGCGCGAAAGCGUGGGGAGCGAACAGGAUUAGAUACCCGGGUAGUC